GGGGCAUAGCUCAGUUGGGAGAGCGCCUGAAUGGCAUUCAGGAGGUCAUGGGUUCAAGUCCCACUGUCUCC
RNAcentral lists this transfer RNA (71 nucleotides) under bovine gut metagenome. It matches the Rfam family "tRNA". From Rfam's summary of the family: Transfer RNA (tRNA) molecules are approximately 80 nucleotides in length. Their secondary structure includes four short double-helical elements and three loops (D, anti-codon, and T loops). The record is from RNAcentral.